This 404-nucleotide ribosomal RNA is filed under the name uncultured prokaryote. RNAcentral's name for it is "bacterial SSU rRNA". It matches the Rfam family "Bacterial small subunit ribosomal RNA", at positions 355 to 774 of the family's 1533-position model. The record is from RNAcentral.
UGGGGAAUAUUGCACAAUGGGCGAAAGCCUGAUGCAGCAACGCCGCGUGAAGGAUGAAGGCCUUUGGGUCGUAAACUUCUGUCCUUGGGGAAGAAAAAAAUGACGGUACCCCUGGAGGAAGUCCCGGCUAAUUACGUGCCAGCAGCCGCGGUAAUACGUAGGGGGCGAGCGUUAUCCGGAAUUAUUGGGCGUAAAGAGUACGUAGGUGGUUUUUUAAGCGCAGGGUUUAAGGCGAUGGCUCAACUGUCGUUCGCCCUGUGAACUGGAAGACUUGAGUACAGGAGAGGAAAGCGGAAUUCCUAGUGUAGCGGUGAAAUGCAUAGAUAUUAGGAGGAACACCAGUGGCGAAGGCGGCCUUCUGGACAGCAACUGACGCUGAGACGCGAAAGCGUGGGGAGCAAACA